CCCGACUUAGCUCAGACUGGUUGAGAGCGGCUGACUGUAGAUCAGCAGGCCCCCGGUUCAAAUCCGGGAGUCGGGACCA
Molecule: transfer RNA, 79 nt
Filed under: Euryarchaeota archaeon RBG_13_57_23
Lineage: Archaea; Methanobacteriati; Methanobacteriota
Also listed under: 2 other names
Description: tRNA-Tyr
Rfam family: tRNA
About the family: Transfer RNA (tRNA) molecules are approximately 80 nucleotides in length. Their secondary structure includes four short double-helical elements and three loops (D, anti-codon, and T loops). Further hydrogen bonds mediate the characteristic L-shaped molecular structure. tRNAs have two regions of fundamental functional importance: the anti-codon, which is responsible for specific mRNA codon recognition, and the 3' end, to which the tRNAs corresponding amino acid is attached (by aminoacyl-tRNA synthetases). tRNAs cope with the degeneracy of the genetic code in two manners: having more than one tRNA (with a specific anti-codon) for a particular amino acid; and 'wobble' base-pairing, i.e. permitting non-standard base-pairing at the 3rd anti-codon position.
Source: RNAcentral